Cyprinus carpio (common carp) is the source of this 1258-nucleotide RNA transcript. RefSeq lists it as uncharacterized. The transcript has 9 exons. NCBI's taxonomy places the organism in Eukaryota, Metazoa, Chordata, Actinopteri, Cypriniformes, Cyprinidae. The record is from RefSeq and is a predicted model, not a curated record.
CAUGUGCGUCCAGGCUUAAUUGGUUGCACAAAGACCAAGCCAGGAUGAGCAGACACGGAUUCAUUAAGCCAGGUGAAACCAAUCCUGGAUAGGUGCGCGCUCACGGCUCACUCAAAUAGACCCCGCCACAGAUCACAGAUUAACUGAUUUACCAUGGCAACUAGAGCCGCGUACUUUUCCCCGUCGGAACCACAAAUCCUCAUGGAGGCAUACGAGGAGGUAAAAGAUAUAAUUAAGAAGAAAGGCAACACCGCCACAGUGAUAAAGCAAAGAGAAAAAGCGUGGCAAAGUAUUGCAGACCGCCUGAAUGCAUUAAACAUGAACGGGCCAAAACGGACAUGGCAGCAGGUCAAAAUCAAAUACAAGAACAUUCUGCAGAAUGCAGUGAAAAAGAAUACCCACAGACAAGGCACGGGUGGUGGGUCACCAAAGGCUGACCUUACCCCAGCAGAGGACAUGGCCUUGGAGCUAAAUAAAGGCAGGCCCGUCUUAGAGGGGAUCCCUGGGGGGAAAGAGACGAGCAUAGGUUCCUCCCAAGAUGCCACCCGCUUCAUUCAAGUGUCUGGCAGCACUGUGUUCCUGUUAGAGCCACCAGCACAAGCACCAGACGAUGCUGAUCCAGGUGAAAGCCCCAGUGCAGCAGCAACAGCACAUGAUGGAGACGAUGAUGAGGAGGAGACCAUCUCUGUGGAUUCCAGAAGGCAUGAGGACCCAGAUGCUAUACAGUGGGAAAACCAGCCUGGCAACAUAAGCUCACAAGCUAUCAGAAAGUUGUAUGGCAACCACCUCCGGUGCCAAAUAGAACUGGCAGACAUAGACAUUCAGUACAAGAAGAAAAAGAUAGAAAAUCUUGCACUGGAGUCCGAAAUAAAAAAGAGGACAAUUAGGAAACUGGACCUUGAAAUAAAAAAACUUGAGAGGGAGCUCCAAGAAGAUGACACAGCUCAAAAUAAAAAUUAGGUAUAUUCUCGUAAAGUCAAGUGAGCCAUGACAUAUGAGCUCUUAUUGUGAGCACACAGGACGGAGGCAUCUUUCUAAGCACCAGGUGUGGCCACUAGCCUAUAUGAAGGCCCAAAAUUGUGUGUUCCUUUCUGCUCUGACAAUGGCAUGCCCAUUCUUGCGAGAUGUGGUGGAUGAAGAAGCACUUGUGCUGAGGAGAGCCUUCAGGCGAGAAAGGGUCUUCAGGGACCGGUUGGACCCACUGGCCUUCCCUGAUGACCAUCUAUAUGAAAGAUACAGGUUUUCUGCAGAUGGCAUC